This 1894-nucleotide long non-coding RNA is filed under the name Anser brachyrhynchus (Pink-footed goose). RNAcentral's name for it is "lncRNA (ENSABRG00000014833.1)". Lineage: Eukaryota; Metazoa; Chordata; Aves; Anseriformes; Anatidae. The record is from RNAcentral.
AUUUGUACUACCUCAGAAUAUAUUAACUUGUCCUACUGAGCAGUAAUAAUUGAUUUAUUUUAUUUUGCUUCUUUCCACUAAAGGUCACUGAAAGUUUUGCGUAUCAUAUCACAUUAUGGUCCUCCAGCACCCUCUAGUUGUAAAAUUCUGCCUGUUGACUUAUUUCCAGAAGAGGUGCAAAUAUAAAACUGUAUAGGCAGUAAGGGAUGUUACUUGAUAUUAAGAAGUAAAAAUGCUAAUAAUUUAAAAAUAAAUGGACAUAAAAUCAAUGGAAAGAUAUAGAAACAUGCCAGCAGUAUGAUUUGAAAAAUGUAGAAAUUAGGACAUUCAAGCAGUAGUAAAGGUGAGGCUUAUGAAGAACAUAUUAGUAACUGGAUUAUCUAGUCGUGAUGUCUUAACAAACUGCAUGAUAGCAAAAUCUGUUUCUAAGGGAGAGACCAUCUGUGUUUCAGAUGACAUUUGCUUGAAGUUCUCCUCUUGACUGGUAGGCGAAUUACAAAUUUCUACCCUUAACAUAAACCUCAGUAUUUCUUUGGCUCUUAAGCAUAGAGGGGUAGCAUCCAAAUGGCUCACUCCUUUCCUUCAAAGUGUUAUGAACUUGUAGGUAUCUUUCUGCUUCAGGUUUUCAGAACAUAUUCAGACCCGUCAACAGGAAGUGCUACUGGAGAUGAAUUAAUUCAUUGGUUAACUUCACCCACAAAUUCAAGCUAUGCAUUACGUCUAUACCGCUGUAGAAAAUAUCUGGGCUGCUUGCAGCACACCCUGGCAUUUUGGCUGACUUUGGGAACUCGCCCACCUACCCACCUACCAGAACCUGUCCUCACUCCAUCAGCGGUAGCAGUGCCAGUAGACGUUAAAAAUAAAAAUCACAGGUCUGUUUGGAAAUCUUUCUGAAAACCCUUCAAUGCGAUGAAUAUGUCUACGCUGCAGUCACUAAAAUGUCUGCAGCUAAUGCAGGCUUAGCCAAAUUAGCUUUAAACUUGCUGACUUGGGGACCGCUAGCAACGUAGCCAUGGCAACGGCGAGCCCGGGCUGAGAGGCCUACCUGCUCGCGUAGGAAAUUAGAAGGCAGACUUUGGUGUUAACCCCCACAAAGCUUUAUGCUGCCUUGCCUGUUGUGCUCAGGCACUUGGUUUGGAGUCAGCUCGCGUGGGCGUUUGCCAGCUCGUGUCUGUGAAACGUAGACGCACGCCGUGUGACGCACGGCGGGCUGGAGCUGGAUUAUUUUUUCCCACUGGUGAUGUGAAAGAUGCCACCGUAAGAUAUGUGUCUUGACGUCAUACAGCACUUCUGCCAUACUUGAUUUCGUGUACUGACAGAAGUGUUCACCAGUGGUGCCAAAAAUGAAACUCAUCACACUGAACCAAUACAAGUGUAAAAGAAUGAGUGGGAUUCAGCCCCCUGAGUGUGAAGGAGGUGGCCUACUGAGCCUCAGUCAUACAGACUAUCCCCUUGACACGUUAAAAAAGCCAUUAAAAAAUCCGAAAUGUAAAACAGGUGUAUAAACCACAUGUCUUUUAGCACAAGAACCUAAAUGGCUUUUCCCCUUGCUGCCCAUGACUCUGGUUCUGGGGCAGAAAGCAACCAGUAAAACAACAUGGGCUACUGGGAGCUGCUGUCCCACCAGGCAGUUGUUAAGCCAUAUAAAGUUCUUUGAAAGAAAGAAGUCUGAAGACUGUGGAGUAGAAAGAGUAAGUUUUUGGAUAACUGUUUUCCACCUGAUAAGUUCUUCGGGCUGUGGCAGUAGAUAACUUGUUUUUUAUAUCUAUCUGUGCAUGUCUAUUUCUUUCCAUGAAUAUCCACAGUGGGAGUCUUUUUUCACUUGGGGAAGCAAAGACAAGAGGUUUUGGGGCCCAAGAAACCCUCCUGAGGAUAGGAGGCCAAGCUGCUGUAC